AUGUUUAAAAAAACAUAUGCUGAGAACCUGCCUGCACUUGAAGGAAAACAGCAGUGGGAUAUUGUAGACCCUGGUUUCAAAUUAAGUCCACCUGUACAUAACAAAGCUGCACCUGGCAGGCCAAGGAAGACAAGAAUUAAGCCAUCAAGUGAAGGAAAAGGACUUGGUCCUAGGAAGAGAAAAUGCAAGAGGUGUGGUGGCUUGGGUCACUUACUGAAAACCUGCAAAAAAGCCAUUGAUCCAGCAUUUGGUGAAGAAGAUGCACACUGGGGAGCUGACAAUGCUGAAGAAGACCCUCCUAACCAAAAUGCAGACCUACAUGAUGAACAAGAAGAAGAAGAGGAGCCAUACAGUGAAGAUGAAGCUCCAGUGCAGCCUGCAGGUGCAGAUGAUGCUCCAGUGCAGCCUGCAGGUGCAGAUGAUGCUCAAGUAGAGCCCCAUAGUGAAACAAAUGAGGCAGCAACACAAGCUUCCACAGUUGCAGAUGAAGUUCAAAGCACACCAAGGAAGAACUACAAGAAGGCAGCAGAGAGAGGAGCAUCUCCAAUGGCUAUCAGCAAGAAGAGGAAGCUUAACACUUCUACAAGUCCAUAA
This 594-nucleotide ribosomal RNA is filed under the name Triticum aestivum (bread wheat). Its description in RNAcentral is "partial small subunit ribosomal RNA". Lineage: Eukaryota; Viridiplantae; Streptophyta; Magnoliopsida; Poales; Poaceae. The record is from RNAcentral.